GACGAACGCUGGCGGCGUGCUUAACACAUGCAAGUCGAACGGUAAGGCCCUUCGGGGUACACGAGUGGCGAACGGGUGAGUAACACGUGAGUAACCUGCCCUUGACUCUGGGAUAACAGUUGGAAACAGCUGCUAAUACCGGAUACGAACUUGGAAGGCAUCUUCCGAGUUGGAAAGCUCCGGCGGUCAAGGAUGGACUCGCGGCCUAUCAGCUUGUUGGUGAGGUAACGGCUCACCAAGGCUUCGACGGGUAGCCGGCCUGAGAGGGCGACCGGGCCACACUGGGACUGAGAUACGGCCCAGACUCCUACGGGAGGCAGCAGUGGGGGAAUAUUGCACAAUGGGCGAAAGGCCUGAUGCAGCAACGCCGCGUGCGGGAUGACGGCCUUCGGGUGGUAAGUUACGUUUUAUUAAUUGUGUAGCGAGUGGCUUCCUUUAUUAUUUAACUAAGUAAUGGGGUAGGAGGAGAAGUAUUAGUAAUAUAGAAUAAAGACAACGGACUAACGUACCGUCGCCGAAGCAGCCGAC
This 528-nucleotide ribosomal RNA is filed under the name uncultured bacterium. RNAcentral's name for it is "bacterial SSU rRNA". It matches the Rfam family "Bacterial small subunit ribosomal RNA", at positions 28 to 530 of the family's 1533-position model. The record is from RNAcentral.